AUCCAGAUGACGAGUCCCAAACAGGACGAAACGUGCAUCCUGGAU
This 45-nucleotide non-coding RNA is filed under the name Schistosoma haematobium. Lineage: Eukaryota; Metazoa; Platyhelminthes; Trematoda; Strigeidida; Schistosomatidae. The record is from RNAcentral.